Molecule: ribosomal RNA, 434 nt
Filed under: uncultured bacterium
Lineage: Bacteria
Description: partial 16S ribosomal RNA
Rfam family: Bacterial small subunit ribosomal RNA
Source: RNAcentral
AGCGAACGCUGGCGGCAGGCCUAACACAUGCAAGUCGAACGAACCUUUCGGGGUUAGUGGCGGACGGGUGAGUAACACGUGGGAACGUGCCUUUAGGUUCGGAAUAACUCAGGGAAACUUGUGCUAAUACCGAAUGUGCCCUUCGGGGGAAAGAUUUAUCGCCUUUAGAGCGGCCCGCGUCUGAUUAGCUAGUUGGUUGAGGUAAUGGCUCACCAAGGCGACGAUCAGUAGCUGGUCUGAGAGGAUGAUCAGCCACAUUGGGACUGAGACACGGCCCAAACUCCUACGGAAGGGAGGAGUGGGGAAUCUUGCGCAAUGGGCGAAGGCCUGACGCAGCCAUGCCGGGUGAAUGAUGAAGGUCUUAGGAUUGUAAAAUUCUUUCACCGGGGACGAUAAUGACGGUACCCGGAGAAGAAGCCCCGGCUAACUUCGUG